AUGGGCUUGGACCUUAACUUACCACAGGACCGCAAUGAUCUGGAUUACAAGGCCAAGAUGGAGGAGACCCGCAUGGAAGGAAAUACAAUGCAAGACCAUGCUAAUACACGCCUGAAGGAAGGCCAAGAUGGAGGAGAUCCGCAUGAAGGGGGUAUGAUGCAAGAUCAUGCUAGUUAUCCCUACACCAGAGCAAUCUGUCUCAUCAGUACCUCUACAGGUAGAACAAGAGAUCCGUACACCAGAGCAAUCUGUCUCAUCCUACGUAAGUAUGUUUUACAAACGGUAUGCACAUCCUACGUAUGGACACUUUAA
Molecule: ribosomal RNA, 312 nt
Filed under: Triticum aestivum (bread wheat)
Lineage: Eukaryota; Viridiplantae; Streptophyta; Magnoliopsida; Poales; Poaceae
Description: partial small subunit ribosomal RNA
Source: RNAcentral